This 435-nucleotide ribosomal RNA is filed under the name Methanoculleus palmolei. Its description in RNAcentral is "partial 16S ribosomal RNA". The record is from RNAcentral. Lineage: Archaea; Methanobacteriati; Methanobacteriota; Methanomicrobia; Methanomicrobiales; Methanomicrobiaceae.
CAUGUGGGCGAGUUGCAGCCCACAAUCCGAACUAAGGAUGGGUUUAGGAGAUUGCCUUCACCUUUCGGUGUCGAUACCCAUUGUCCCACCCAUUGUAGCCCGCGUGUAGCCCAGAUAAUUCGGGGCAUGCUGACCUACCGUUGCCCAUUCCUUCCUCCUCUUUAGCAGAGGCGGUCCCAACAGUGUCCCCACCAUCCCGGAGGACGAGCUGGCAACUGUUGGCGUGGGUCUCGCUCGUUGCCUGACUUAACAGGAUGCUUCACAGUACGAACUGACGACGGCCAUGCACCUCCUCUCAGCUAGUCAAGUAGAGUCUUCAGCCCGACUAUCAUUCAGCUGUGUUAUCUGGUGAGUUUCCCGGCGUUGAGUCCGAUUAAACCGCAGGCUCCACCUGUUGUGGUGCUCCCCCGCCAAUUCCUUUAAGUUUCAGCCUUG